Molecule: ribosomal RNA, 492 nt
Filed under: uncultured bacterium
Lineage: Bacteria
Description: partial 16S ribosomal RNA
Rfam family: Bacterial small subunit ribosomal RNA
Source: RNAcentral
AGUGAACGCUGGCGGUAGGCCUAACACAUGCAAGUCGAACGGCAGCACAGUAAGGGCUUGCUCUUACGGGUGGCGAGUGGCGGACGGGUGAGGAAUACAGCGGACUCUACUUUUUCGUGGGGGAUAACGUAGGGAAACUUACUCUAAUACCGCAUACUACCUACGGGUGAAAGCAGGGGAUCUUCGGACCUUGCGCGAUUGAAUGAGCCGAUGGCGGAUUAGCUAGUUGGCGGGGUAAGGGCCCACCAAGGCGACGAUCCGUAGCUGGUCUGAGAGGAUGAUCAGCCACACUGGAACUGAGACACGGUCCAGACUCCUACGGGAGGCAGCAGUGGGGAAUAUUGGACAAUGGGCGCAAGCCUGAUCCAGCCAUACCGCGUGGGUGAAGAAGGCCUUCGGGUUGUAAAGCCCUUUUGUUGGGAAAGAAAAGCAGCAGGUUAAUACCCCGCUGUUCUGACGGUACCCAAGGAAUAAGCACCGGCUAACUUCGUG